Pteropus vampyrus (large flying fox) is the source of this 119-nucleotide ribosomal RNA. NCBI's taxonomy places the organism in Eukaryota, Metazoa, Chordata, Mammalia, Chiroptera, Pteropodidae. The record is from Ensembl.
GUCUACAGGUAUGCCACCCUGAAUGUGCCCAAUCUCAUCUGAUCUCAGAAGCUAAGCAGAGUCGGGCCUGAUUAGUACUUGGAUGGGAGACCACCUAGGAAUUCUAGGUGCUGUAGGCG